AUGCCAUGUAGAAAACUGCAAAAAUAAUGAUUCAAAGUCUGUGCAAAAAUGUUUCAAAAACUUUUUUCCAAAGUGUUCACACAAUGUUUUUAUAGGCCUUGCAAAACAGUCCAUGUCCCUUUGGCCUAGAAACAGUCCUGUUUAUGUGUACGUGCAUAUGUGUGCAGCAGUUCUUUGUUUUUUUUUAAAAGUUCUUUCACAGUCCAUAUGAACAAUUAGUGUGUGUACUAGUUGAUAUGAACAAUUAGUGUGCUCUCAAUCUCUGUUUCAGUUUCAGUUCACGUUUAAUACACAGAUGGUGGUCUUGGGUAGGGAAACACUGUUGGCACCCAAGGCGUAAAUGUAGGUGUCCACAUGUUAGGAAAGUGUGGAUCAUAUCCAGAACCAGUUACUUGCACUUUGUAACAGGUCUGUCACUUGACUCAAUUUCCUCUGGUACUUUCGCAGGUACAUGAGCAGGUGUGGGAACAUCUUGUUUCACUUCAGCUGUAGGUAACGGUUCUAGUUCAAACCGAUUCAGUGGAGAACUAUGUGAUGCACUCUGAUGAGCAGGCAACUCAGGAGGUGAAAACUGUAUUAGUGCUUCCUCUCGUCUCUGAUCAUAACCACUAGGUUGCUUUCUCACUUGGCAAGGCUCAACUGGUAUAUAAUACUCAGAGUCACUUUCACUUUCCAACUCACUUUCUUCCAUUCGGUUUGCAGGUAUGCUGGAGUUUCCCUGUGGCUGUCUCUGCUGUGAUUUGGGUUUUGGCGUUGGAUCGACUUCAAGAGGUAAGUAAUCGCAUGGCAUCAACAAGUUUCGGUGUAAUACUCGUGACCUCCCCUUUCCUCGCUCAGGCUUGAUCUCAUAAAUUGGCACAUCCUCAGCAACUCGGCGUACAACAACAUGAACUUGCUCUUC
Long non-coding RNA from Carassius auratus (goldfish), 901 nucleotides. RefSeq lists it as uncharacterized. NCBI's taxonomy places the organism in Eukaryota, Metazoa, Chordata, Actinopteri, Cypriniformes, Cyprinidae. The record is from RefSeq and is a predicted model, not a curated record. The transcript is spliced from 3 exons.